GAUGAACGCUGGCGGCGUGCCUAAUACAUGCAAGCCGAGCGAACAGACGAGGAGCUUGCUCCUCUGACGUUAGCGGCGGACGGGUGAGUAACACGUGGAUAACCUACCUAUAAGACUGGGAUAACUUCGGGAAACCGGAGCUAAUACCGGAUAAUAUAUUGAACCGCAUGGUUCAAUAGUGAAAGACGGUUUUGCUGUCACUUAUAGAUGGAUCCGCGCCGCAUUAGCUAGUUGGUAAGGUAACGGCUUACCAAGGCAACGAUGCGUAGCCGACCUGAGAGGGUGGGCGGGCAGCAGGGAAGUGACACACGCUCGGGACGAAUGCGGGAGGCAGCAGUAGGGAAUGGUCCGUGAUGGUCGAAAGCCUGACAGAGUGUGUGAGCGGGGAAGAAGAAGGUGUUAGGAACGUAAACCUCUGUUAAGGGGACAGAACAAAUGUGCAAGGAACAAUGCACUUCUUGAAGGUGCGUAAUCAGAACGCCACGGCUACGUAUGUC
RNAcentral lists this ribosomal RNA (497 nucleotides) under uncultured bacterium. RNAcentral describes it as "partial 16S ribosomal RNA". It matches the Rfam family "Bacterial small subunit ribosomal RNA", at positions 28 to 507 of the family's 1533-position model. The record is from RNAcentral.